CUGUUAUGUCUACGUUCUCAACUUAACUUGACGACGGAGACCCGCUCACGUCUAUCUCUCGGCUCGGCUCGUGGGGGAGUGACCUCUUCGUGCUUGCUUCGUCUCCAGGUGACAGUCCCUGUCACCUGAGAGAAGGAGGCCCAUGCAGCAUCUGCACCUGUAAGGCCGUCUACACGAGGGCACUCCCCAACAUCCCCCCUACUUUAAUACGGUUUGUACAUAGCCAUCCAACGCGGCGAUCUUCGUGUUCGGGAAGAACGGCGUAGAGGCUGCACUGGCAUCGCAGGCUCACUAUGCAUGUCUUCCGGGAAUGUUUCCGAACGUAUGGCAAUCUCUCUUGAUGGUGGUGGACAAGGAACCUGCGGUGUUGGCGAGCACGUAGCUGCUGCGCUUGCUAGUGUCGAAUCGGACGGUUGCGCGCAGACAUUUGGAGCCGGGUCUGGUCUGGUUAUAGCCACGUUACCAUCCAUCAAGAUACUCAUAUCCAAGGCACGUUUAAACGGUGUGUAUGUGCUGGAAGAAUUUGCAAGGGUAUAAGAAUUAGUGUAACGAGGAUUUAACUGAUUAAUAUGUGACCGAAAUAUUUUUCCUUCUUCAUCGACUACUUGGUACAUGACCUUCCCCA
Molecule: long non-coding RNA, 625 nt
Organism: Anopheles coluzzii
Lineage: Eukaryota; Metazoa; Arthropoda; Insecta; Diptera; Culicidae
Exons: 2
Source: RefSeq, a predicted model, not a curated record